This 47-nucleotide non-coding RNA is filed under the name Trichobilharzia regenti. The record is from RNAcentral. Lineage: Eukaryota; Metazoa; Platyhelminthes; Trematoda; Strigeidida; Schistosomatidae.
ACUAGCUGACGAGUCCAAAAUAGGACGAAAUGCGUUUUAUCCUUGAU